CUAGAGUGUGUCCCCGAUAAACUGUGAGACCUCCCUGUUCUUGGUGACCCCAGUUGGGCUUUGGCCCCUCCAGCAACCUUGUGUCCCAGCCCUGCCCUUCUUCCCACCCCCUCAAUCUGCUACCCUGUUGCUCUCCUGGCGCUGAGAGGUGGGUCCAAGCAGAGUUGAUCAGUCCCUGCCUGCCCUGCCUAGGUCUAGCCAGGGGAGGUUGUGUGUGUGGGAGAAGACCCCGGGAUCUGCUGGGGUGGGAUGGAGGUUAUUAAAGAUCUAAGUGAGGAGGGGCUGGGGUUUGGAUGCGGGGUGAGGCCCGAGCGCUCACACUUCGUGUAGGGCGGGCAGGGGCCUGACCUCUUGCAGGGCAGUGGCCUUGGUGCCCUACCCCUGCCCUGCGCAGUAUUUAUUGCUAAAUUAUUGUCCAGGAGGGGCAGCACUGGGCCUGGCCCCCCGGGUAUUUAUUGCUGUACAUAGUGUAUGUUUGUGAUAUAUAAGGUUUUCUUUAUUUUGUAUAUGAUCAAUAAACCUUUUAAAGAG
RNAcentral lists this long non-coding RNA (531 nucleotides) under Homo sapiens (human). Its description in RNAcentral is "HSALNT0246342". The record is from RNAcentral. Lineage: Eukaryota; Metazoa; Chordata; Mammalia; Primates; Hominidae.